This 448-nucleotide ribosomal RNA is filed under the name uncultured bacterium. RNAcentral describes it as "bacterial SSU rRNA". It matches the Rfam family "Bacterial small subunit ribosomal RNA", at positions 28 to 485 of the family's 1533-position model. The record is from RNAcentral.
GACGAACGCUGGCGGCGUGCUUAACACAUGCAAGUCAAGGGGGCCCGCAAGGGCAACCGGCGAACGGGUGCGUAACACGUGAGCAACCUGCCUUAGUGUGGGGGAUAGCCGGCCCAACGGCCGGGUAAUACCGCAUACGCUCACUGGGUGGCAUCACCUGGUGAAGAAACUUUCGAGGCACUAAGAGGGGCGUCGCGGCCUAUCAGCUUGUUGGUGGGGUAAUGGCCUACCAAGGCAUCGACGGGUAGCUGGUCUGAGAGGAUGGCCAGCCACAUUGGGACUGAGAUACGGCCCAGACUCCUACGGGAGGGCAGCAGUGGGGAAUAUUGCGCAAUGGGCGAAAGCCUGACGCAGCGACGCCGCGUGGGGAGUGAAGCAUUUCGGUGUGUAAACCCCUGUUGCUCGGGACGAACAACUGGUUUUGUACCAGUCUGACGGUACCGAGUGA